RNAcentral lists this long non-coding RNA (26280 nucleotides) under Linum usitatissimum (flax). RNAcentral's name for it is "long non-coding RNA (LUSI_LNC005087)". The record is from RNAcentral. Lineage: Eukaryota; Viridiplantae; Streptophyta; Magnoliopsida; Malpighiales; Linaceae.
UUUGAACAGGUGAUUUGGACCUCGAUGGAGAUUUGGUCCCAAAAUCACUCGUUUGGAUGCUUAAAUCGUAAGAGAUUUGAGGUUAUUUAAAAAGGCUUGAAGAAAAUUAAGUAGAAAUUUAAGAGUAGAGAUGGGAGAUUUGAAAAUUUUAUCUAAAAUUACCUUUUAUUUUUAUCAAAAUUACACAUGUCACUUGAUUAUACUAUAAGACAUCCUACUUCAAAUUUAUCCUAGUAUUUAGUUUUUUUUUCACCCUAUUUCAACUAGAUUGUCACACCAAUGAUCUCAAAAUUUUAAACAAUUUUGGACAUUUUAUUUGGUGCAUAAUUUUGGUUUGAUGGUAUUAUGUGAGAUGUUGAUUUUUUUUUGAAUUACUUUUGUGCUUGUUUAUAGUUUACGGAUGAUUAUAUCGUAAGGGGUAUUUUAGUAGUUCUAUUUUUUCAUUUGUUAAUUUAAUUUUCUAUUUAUAUAAUAACUACACUUAAAAUUACCCACAAUUCAUCCAUCCAAACGUGUUAUUUCAAAAAUAGCAUGCUCCAUCUAAAUCUCUUUUAUUUUAAAUCUCUAACUAUUUCUAAUCUCUUUUAUUUUAAAUCACCUAAAUCACCUACCAAACGACGAGUAAGGAUCUUUCUCAGUAUUGUAUAUAAAUCGAUUUUGAAUUAAUACAUGCAUUUGCAGUAUAUAUAGCAAACGACACAAUUUACUUCAAAGAUGCAUUUCCGUUAUUAGUAAUGGAAAAUCCGAUCAGACUUAGCCCGACUCAAGCCGGUGAAACCAGAGUUAUCCUAUAUUAAAUAGGAUCGAGUAGAGCAGACUUUCAAAAUAUAAUAUUUCAAAUUUGUUACGUUAUUGAUGAGUGAACAAACGCAUACUACAAAUCAACUAACGACUAACUACUAAAAUUUAGUACUAAGAUUUAUAAAAAGGGAAAUGCUAUAGGGAAACAUAGAAACUCGGUGCCUAACCAAUCAAAUCAUCACAACAUAAAAAAUCAGUGCCAAACCAAUCAAAUCAUCACACCGUUCCAUUUUAAAUUUUAUUCGCAAAGGAAACUGAUAAUACCAAGGAACAGUAGAUGCAGCGGCAGUAACAACCACAUCCCCGCCAACUACUCCAGUUUGACAAUCAGUGGCGUAAUUAUUCAGAAGAUUCAAUAACUUUUCAUUUUUACGUUAGAAGCGUGGUUUUAAAUAAUUCGUCGAUCAGGUAAUGGAGCAACUCAUUGCAUGAUGGAAAAGACUCUUAAAUGUUUUUCAAGAAUGUUACCGAUAAUCCUUACUUAUUGAAUUAAUGCCUAAUGAUUGUGUGUUUGCUAUCUCUUUAUAUUUACAAUGAGCUAACUAUGCCAAAAAUAUACUAAAGAAACGUCACAUAAUUUUAGAAAUUAUGAUUUAUGUAUGCUUCAACCGAGUAUUACUUAUCAGGCUACCCCCGCGAUGAUGAGUACUGCAGAAUGCCAACCCAAAAAAAUGAUGGAAAUAGAAAAUAUGAAGUUAUUCUAAUGUUAGAGUUGUGUGAUAGCAAUUUACAUAUAUCUAAGUUUUCAAUUUUAACACACCACAUAAAAGAACACCCAAAACAAUAUUUAUUUACUUUCUAUUUUCUAUUGACCGAAAGGUCCACUCCGAGAAGAAAGAAAACUGACAAAACAGCAUAAAAAUUUAAUCAGAAAGAACGACGAUUAACCAUUGCAUGAGCACCAAAACCACCAUCUUGUUAAUUGUCAUCCUGUAAGUAAAAAGGUACACGCUUUAACGAUAAGGCUAACAAGUAUCUAAUAAGUUAGUGUACAAGCAAAACAGUAAUGGAAAUCCUGUAAGGUAUUUUUCUAACUUUCAGCUCUUUUCAUUCAAACAAGUAGCCAAAGUAUACGAACUGCAAAUCAUUGAUGAAUUGCCUGUGGUUAUUCGAAUACAGCAUACGGAAUGGCAAUCUCACCAAAAGUCAGGCCUCCGAAUUUACCUCAAGAACCAAAAUUUUGUGUCUCACACGUACCUCUCUCUAUCUGUUCAAAGGUUCUAACUGCACUUCCAUUCUCCCCGAGUCUCGCAAAUCCGUUUGGUCAGAGGCUCUCGUCGAGUUGAGGAGAUCGACCGAAUCAUCUUCUUCGGUGUUACCCAACACCCAAUUACUACUACUGCUACUUCUCCCGGGGAUUCUGUCUCUCCUUCUCUGCCUUUCUUUAUGUUCAAGAUACAGUAUCAUCAGUGAUCCCAUCAGGAACCACGCGAUGAGAGCCCAAAUAUAUCCAUGAACGUUUUCCCCUCCAUAUCUGUCUCCCAUAUGUUUCAUUCCUGUGAAUACAGCUACGAUUCCAGCAACGAUGGCUGACCUGCCCACUAUAACGUGGAAAUACUCCCACAUAAGCCUCUUCUUAGUAACUACUUCUCCGUUACCAGGUUUUUUCGGCCUCAUGAAAGCAUUUACGGGCUGUGCGCACGCUAAAAAUAUAGCGGUAAGCCCAAAUUUAACGUGCAGUGAACUCACAUAUAGCCCUCGAAGCUCAGCUACCGCAAACAGAAAGCCGAGCAAGACAAUGGACAAACCUGAAUACUGCAAGUAUACAUGAAUUUGGUACCAGCCAUCACCUUUCAGAUGCUUUAAGUAUCUAGCGGAUAGAACACCUCCAGGAAGCAAAAUACCCCAAGCAAGGAACAUCAUAAAUCCAUGCACAGCCAAUACAGGUCGUAUAUCUUGCUCUGCUUCUGUAGAUCCACCCAUUAGCAACACGUUUACAGGCCUUUGACUGGUUGCUGAAUGCAUAUUUUUCUCGCUCAAAUGUUCAUCGGACCAACUAGCACCCAUUGCCCAUACAACUUUAAGAGGACUGGUUGGAUCAAUUAUAUUCUGGCACUCUAUAUUUCCUCUGUGAGGACAUGGAGGUUUCAGAAGCCUAGUGAACUCCAAGGUAAUGAUGCCAUUUUCAGAUUUGCACCUUACGUAAGUCAAAUUUUCAUUUGUUGGAUGCACGCUCAAGGCAUCCAUUCCAUCGAUCCAGUAUGUGUUUACAUGCCCUUUAGCUUCAUCAUCUAUCCAGCCCACAUAAGCAAAGCUGUUAACCAUCCCAGUACCAAAUCCUAUAGCAACGUAUCCACUCUUUUUCUCCCCUCGAGCUGCAACGGAUAAAGUCUCAUCUGACAAGGUCCAAAAGAAGGUUACUUGCUGAUCAUCCAAGAAAACACUGUUAUUGUACAUAUCAGAAAGACCCCCAUCGACAACUUGAACCCUCCAUCCCAUUUUCUGCUGAUACAAUGACUGAUAGUAUACUUGAUCCGGGGUAUUUCUGUCUGGUGCCCAAACUAAUUCCAUUGGAUCAGCUUGAACACCUUCUGCCUCGGGCCCCCCUGCAUAUAUGGUUUCUGUCUCAUUCCUCAAUGUGGCAUUCCCACCAAGCAAGUCUGAAGUUAUAUACAAUGCAACGUCAUGUCCAGCUUGCACAGAGAACGUCACUGGUACACCUCUCUCAACUCUCAAAACUGGUGCCUCCUUCUUGUUUAUGUAGAACACCUUAGAAGGGUUGGGAGAAUUAGGAUAAUGUAAAGCAGGCCCAGAAGUAACUACUAGAGGCACGUUUCCAUCAGCAAAGAUCAAAUCCUGAUCUUCCUUAUCUGCAGCAUCCAAUGGCCCUACACAAUCAUUCACAUGUUCGGAUACAUUAAGCAACAAAUGUCCAUAUGCCACAGCAGCUGGACCUCCGUGGUCAAGGGGUAGAUAGUAAGACAUAAAAGAAUCUGGUGGCCUCAGCAAGCCUACAGCCCAGAUUACGUUCAUUUUUUCUGUAUAAUUCACAGGCAAAUCAUAUUUCUUAUCUGCAGAAAUCAAUGGCCUCCUGUACCUGACAAAUGACACACCAUCUUUCCUGUGGCCAUAAAUGGUCUGAGUAUUGUUCACCAAGCCAACUGGAUCUGAUCCUUCAUAUAUCGCAUCAGGACACACCCCAGUAGCUGAACCGUCCUUGUCUAUAGUACAUUCAAUAUACUUUGUAAUGAAAAAAUCAUCAGCAAAAGGCCACCCUUCCUCACUGAAUCCAGCCACAGAUACAUCAGCACCAAUCAUUAGGUCAGAAUUUGACCCAUUGGCCCAUCCAAAAGCCAUAUAAUUCUGGAUCCCUAUGGCUGCUUCCAGUCCUAUGUCAACAAAAUCUUUGUUGGCGCUUAAACUCCAUCUUACUCUGUAGUCUUUAGACAAGACCUUACAAUUGUCAAACAUCGUAGGUGCUGUUAAAAUCUGACCUUUCUCUUUUCCUGGACUAGUGUUAUUCUCAGAUGGAGUUGGAGGCAAACCAGGGCUUAAUCUGGACUCCAGCGUGGAAUCAUUCUUGAGAAUAACGUGUCCAAAAUCAGAAGCUGAGGGAAUAUCCCACACAGAAAACACUUGAAUCUGUUCCCAGGUGACAUUUUUCCUCAGUUUAACAGCAAAAGAGGAAUUUUUAUACGUCUCAUUAAGCUUCUGGUCGGAGAUCACAAAACCCUUGGUCAUGUUAACAAAAUCCACAGCACUUGCUCCCCACCAGUGGACGUCCAAGCCAGAUAACAUGUCAAAUUGGGAGACAUUAAAUGAGCAGUCAUCAACAAUGGUCAUCACACCACGGAGUUGAUGCUGCACCAUGUAGAAUUGGGAUUCAAACCCAACGAAAGAGCUUGUUUUGGGACAAGACUGACCAGAAUCGGCAAGGCAACCAAGAAAGAGCAGACUAAUCAGAGACCUGCAGUAUAAUACUACACGUAAGAAACAGCUGGAGAUGUGCAAAUAAGUUAUGAGAAGCAGUUUACUGUCCGUGACAUAUCAAACUGCAAACUAUUAAAUGGUGUGCAACUAUUAGUGCACCGGUGAGAAGACCUAUCUAUCUACACACAUCAGAAUGCAUAUGUCUUGCAUCCAGCAUAGCAACGGAAGUGUGACAUUUUUUAUUACUGCAAGCAGAAGCAGAAAGGGAGACAAAGGAAGCCCAACCUUAUAAAUAGUUGAACAAACAAAGCCCUCCGACUUAGAUGGAAUGAAAAACCUUUUACAGACCGUCCUCCCCCUCUCCCUAAAUGAAAAGGUUCUGAAUUUACCCCUGAAAAAAGCAUGAGUGUUUGACCAUAUUAUGAGAACCUCGUCAACAAUAAACUUUGCAAGGUGGUUUCCAAGGAAAGGUUACCACGAUAUCUCUGUUGGUAGAACUUUAACCCAGUCUGGCUUCCUGAUGAUGAUUCUUCUUCACCAGCAAGAUCAUCAUCACCAAAAGACGCCAUCUGAGAACAUUCCAAGAGCAAAGUGCAAUCAUAAGACCCAGGCAGUACCAAAAUAUACCGCCAACUUAAAAUACAAGCAACCAGAAGUUACAGAAAUGUAGAAAAAUACAACGUAUCGUGCUUUCAUGAGCAAUAUACCAUAAUAAACAUAGCUGAAACUCUUUCUCUUUCAAUAAUGAAUGUGUAAAUUUUACAAAAACCGACCCAGUCUUCUAAGAUCACUCCCUGGCAACAGGAAAUGUUUAACCAGACACUUUUAUUAGCUCAAGAAAUGGUCGCAUGGCAGGCUCUGCCUUUAACAGUCGAAUUGCUGAUUUAGCAUUGAACUUGCCAAAUCCAGUUGGUAAAAGAAACCCGAGCUUAGAAAUUGAUGCAAGUUCACAAUUCUACUAAGAUGGCCAGCAUUAGAAACCAUUCAUCCGAAGUAACUUCCUUAAUGCCAGCAGUUAGCAAGAAAUUAUUAUCAGGUCUGGUAGUAAGAUAUACGAGGAACAGUUAAAAACAAAGGGAAGAAAACUAACCGCAGAUAGCUGGUCUAUGCUUUUAAUGUUCUCCUCCAACUUCCCAGGCAUUCUUGAGAUAUCACGAGACACAACAUCUGAUCUAUUUAUGCUACAGAGCACCUUGUCCUCUGAUCUAGCUUGAAGCCUUGCAUCCAAGCUACUCAUUACCUGAAAAUAAAAGCAUAGGGGUAAGCCAGCUUUAAUUGUAAUAAUUAGAAAUAACUUGUGAGAUCUAACAGGUAAAGGAUGACAGUACUGGACCACAGACAUAGCAAGUUAAUCACUCGGCGUCCUACCUCAACCCCAACCCCCCCAACUCAACAAGUAUUGUCAUUCCAGAUAAAAUGCAGCCAAAUUCACUUUACAAUUUUUGGGAUUACUAAAUCAAUCAAUCACAGGCUAGCAACAUGAUCUGUAAUUUAAGGCAAAGAGAAACAAACGUUCACUAAGCUGCUCGCCUCUUCCAUGUAAAAAUCAUAACUUCAGCUAUGAAGAUACUAAUAGCCAAAGUUCAAUUAAUUCACUACCAAACUGGACAGGCAAACGGGAUGAUGAUACGCGCACCAACAAAGAAAGCUAAUAAGAAGAACUGAAAUAAGGCGGUAUUUCCCAAACAAAACUAUCUACAACCAUUCUAACCUCGAAUUACUUUUCAACACAUGAUCGGGAAACACGUAAUGAUCGAUUCAUCAAAAGCCCAGAACAGCCAAUGCCAAAGAGAAAAGGCCAUUCAAGCAAGAGGCACGAACUCUACCAGGUCAUAAAAUCACGCUACGUUUCGAAAUAGGAGGAGAAAAAAGCGGACAAUUGAAAUGCAGGUGAAGAUGGAACAAUUGCUUCAGAUAAAGCGGACAUUUCACCUUAGCAGCUAUGGCGAAUCGGUAGUAGAAAAGGAGAGAGCAACUGUUUCAACGAAAUAUGGUGGAUUGAAAAGGGAAAGAAACCAGAGAGAAGAAGAAAUGAAGAAUUUACCGAAGGGGAGGCGGAGAUCGCCGGAUCUGGGGGGGUUCCAAUUCAGUGGAAUAUUUUCUUUUCUGCCUGCACCCCCAAAACUCGAGAUCACAAUUUCGUUUUAUUUUCUUUUUUCUAUUUUAUUUCGUUGUUCGGUUAGAUCUUUGGACGCUGAAGACGGGUGUAGGACUCAGAUUCUUGAUGGCAUCAAACAAUACCUGAUCCGUUGGAUCUAGUCACUUUAAUCGAAGGAAUCAUAUCACAGGGAUAAAAUAGGAAUUAACAUUGUUUUGACCGCUUAAGCCCACCAUCGGUCAUUGACCAGCCAUCGCUGACCAAAACCAGCCGCUGGCCACAAGCACUGCCCUUGAAGCUCGACCACUUCCGUUGUCGUCGGCGACCACCUUCACCACCUCCGCAGAUGACCACCCCCGCCUACCGUGUAGGUAUUUGGGCUUUGUACGCGCUUACCAAGUUUAUGUAUACGACUACGAGGACAUGUACACAGGAACAAAAAUGUGUAUCGUCUACAAAAAGUGAGUACAUUUAAAGUUACAAAAUUAAAGGGAAGUCAAUCACCGGCAAUCAGACUUUAAUUUGCAUUGCCCUCAUUUACAUGAGCUAGUGUGUACAGAGUGUGUGUAUAGAGCGUGUGUACAGAGACAUGUACGUGUAUAUAAAAAGUAUACUAUCUAAAACAAAGAGAGUACAUGUACAAACUAGUAGAAAAGGGACUUUGCCGCCCUUAUAUAUGCAUCGCACGAAAUGACAGAGGAACUGUGCGCAUGAACGAAGUAUUAUACACAAGUAUGAAAAGUUUAGUUCAGAUCAGCUGUGACAUUUAUGACAUAGUACUCGGCUAGGACAUCCUCAUCAGUGUCAUUUAUUAAACAUGUUUCACAAACAAUUUAUUUCCUGCUGCUAAUAGUGUAUUGAGGCUAAGGCAGUAGCCCUCCCAUUUUACACAAAUUCUACCGAGGUGAAAUAAUCAUUUGCUCUUAUAUUCACACUUAUGUAUGGGGUCCUAGCAGUGCUUGCUCUCGUUUUGGCUAUUGAUACUUUGUGCUAUUCAUCGAUCAUCAUAUAAGAUAUUCAUGGGUCUACUUCUUACACCUCAACUCUAAAGACAUGCAAGUCCUCAAGGAUUUUGUCACUAUGAUUCAAGCUCAUUGAACAUUGGGUUAAAAAGUCUGAUCACGAACUCGUGGUGGAGAGUUCAUGUAUAUAUAUCACGUUUUGCACGAUUAUGUUUUUUUUCCGUGAAACCAUUUUUUCCAUUAUGAUAUACCAAUCCUCCUAGUUCCUCCCCGUCUCUACUGUCCUGCCUCACUACCAGAACUUCGAUAAUGACCCUCCACGGCCACCUCAUUCCCCGACCCUGCGCCUCCUCCCUAACGGUGAUCGAUAGCAAUAUGUUUGUCUUGACAUCAAGUAAUUUAUCUGCUUUCUACAUUCUUAUGUAGAUCUGUUUCACUCUCUAUAAAAGAAUGUUUCUUUUCGUGUUCUUUCUAUAAACAUAUAUAUAUAUGGAGAUAAUAGAGAGUGAAGGUGAUAUGGUGGGUUUAUUCUCUUAUUCUCGGGUGUGUGGUGUAAUAAAUAGAAAAAUAUCAUAAAUACAUUCGGUCAGUGUCGCUAUUUAAUUGGCUCUCGUCACAUGGGCCAAUGGGGAUGAAUCAAUGGAGGCCUCAUGGGCCGAAUUGAAUGAAUAAAAGACUCCCAUCUACCCUUACCUUCCUUCUCUCUCUCUCUCUCUCUGUUUCUCCUUCUCCUUCUUCUUCUUCUUCUUCUAACUUAAAACACCAACAGCUCAGUCGGUGCAAGCUCACCCCUUUUCUUUCGAGGAAAACAUGAUCUCCGCCGGAUACUGUAGGGAAUGCAAAUCGAUUUUGGGGGAAAUCUGAACCCACACGAUCUCUGUACUGCACAGCUGGGGGGGGGGAAGGUUUUUAUUUUUUACCAUUAUUUAUGUGGGUUGGUGAGGCGAAAUGGCGUCGUUUCGACCCACUAGGAGGAGGCAGCUCGAGAGAUGGUUGGUUUUCUCAGUUCUGAUAUUACAACAACUAGUAUGGGUUUUCACUUCCAGCGGCGGCACAGGAGCCGCCAUCCGGAUUCCCCCCCAACAACACGGUGGCCUUGCGCCUCCACCAAACUUGCCUCCGUCAAGUUCGCCACUGUCGGCCGGACUUUCCCCUGAAGAAGAUGGUAGUAGUUUUGGCAACGAGAAACAACGCAAACGGAGCUACACGGAGCAUUUCCGUCGGUAUUUCGAUGAACAAACGUCGACAAUGAUCGGUCCGAGUAGUUCAGGCGGAGGAGGAGGAUUCGAAGAGAGCAAAAGAAAAGUGCCCAGCUGCCCUGAUCCUCUCCACAACUAAAAUAAUGAAGAAAGUUUGCUUCUUUUCACUUAUUGCUGCUUGCUGGGUAUCAAAUCUUGUGCAAUAUCAUCCAAAAUACCCACGUUUUUCUCAUCAUGGUCAAUUGAUCAUUCCCCUUUUUGCUUCAAUCAUGUAAUUGAUGAGGGGAAAACGAUGGUAUUUUGGUAGUUUUGGAUCCGAUCCGAUCUCUCUCUUUUUGUUGUUGAAGAACUUAGAACAUCAUCAUUGUUGUUGGUUGGAUCAGGAGAUUAAUGGAGGAUCAUCAUUAUCAUCAUGAUUGUACAGAGGUUUUUACAAUCUUUAUAUUAUUAUUUAUCAUUAUUAAGGCACGAUCAAUUGUUAGUCAAAUCAGUUACUCUGCAGUCUAUGAAUCAAUGGUCUCUGUUUGAAAUGUAAAAUAAUCAGAAGGAAAUGAAGUGACAAUGGAGUGAAGUAAAAAGCUGCUGCUACAGUUUUUUUUUUGUAGUAAAAUAUGGGGAUGACUUUAGAAAGUGGGGCAGGAAAAGAAUGCAAAAUUAGGGUAAAUUUGGUAUGGGAUUUGGGUUUUGCUUCAUUUGGUAAAAAGAUGAGAUCUUUGCUUUUCGAUCUUACUGUGACAAGAGGGAAAUUUUAGAAGCCUCUGUUGACUGUUGUGUUGGUGAUAUACACGUUACUAUCUACCCCAUCACUCUUCUCGUUACUGUUUCACUAGCUUCCUACCAUCCGUCAGUAUGAAAAGGCUAUUCCUUUUUAAUGUAUAUAUCCUAUUAUUUACUCCAUCUGAAAAUGCAGAAUUUAGUCGUUACUCUUUGCCAUAAAGUUGUGUUUAUUUAUUUAUUCUGGAAGAUAAAAGCAAUGUAUUAGCCAUUAGGUGCAUGACUGCAUCUGCAUGUCAAUGGUCAACGGAAAAGUAUGAGCUGGGUUGAAACUUGAAACACCAUAUCCAAAAUUACUAAACUACUAAUAAAUAAAAGGUGGAGUGGCUGAAGGACAUCACAUGAGAGUAAACACUAUGUACAAAGAAGAGCCACAAAGGUCCAGAACAAAAACCAAGGAUGAGAUUUUGCAAACGUAAUUAUGAGCACGGAAAUGUUGUGUUUGGAGAUUAAUUAAUUGGGAUUAAAGUGGAAAGGAGUUGAAUGCUAGGUGAAGAAAGAUUGAAUUGAUAGAGAAAAAAACAAGUUGUUGGUUUGUGUACAUGACCAAAAAGGUUUAGAACUAACCAAAAGGGUUGCAGUUAAGUAUUUUGUCCUGUGAUUGCAGACGGUGACAAAUUUGGUUUAGAUUAAUAAUAAUAAUAAUAAUAAUUUGCAGUGCAGUGAAAAAGAGGUGGCCAGGGUGGAAGCAGAGAAAACAGAGUUUAAAAAUUAUAGUGAUCUUGUUGUCUUCCUCUUGUUCUCUAGCAAACGGUUUUGUUCUCUUGUCUUUUGUCCUCUGUAUAUAUAUAUAUUAAUCCCAUAUAUUGAUAUGUUGUUAAAUAAUAAUGAAUAAUAAAGCCAAAAGAGGUGCUUUGUAUUCUUUUGCAUGAAGAAACGGGAAAGAGGCAGCCGGCAGUCUGGCUGUUUUCUGUAUUGGUAGUUGUCUCGUUGGAAAUUAUUGGUUUAUGCAUUUGAAUUCCAAUUUGUAAAAAUCAUAGCUUUAAAUGUUCUUCCUAAACUGCAUUAUACUCUACGACACUCAGACCUACUUCUUUUAGGAAUUUAAACGGCGAGGCCUACAGUUUGACUUCACAGUCAUCAUUUGUAGGCUAUUUUACAUUUCAUAGUCGUCAACCGAACUUCGAGAACCCAAUUGAAUGUAAAUUCUCGAUUUAUUUUUAAUGAAUUUAUAUUUUAUUCAAGGUAGAAUACAAUACAUCAAGAUCUGAAGCGAAGAACACGGUUUAUAAAUUUAAAAAUAAAAAUGGACCCGAAAACUUCAUAAUGUUUCGGGUUAUUGUUAAGGAAAUUGUUGAACUGAUCGAUCCAUAACAAAUCUGAACUUUAAGCGGGGCAGUUUUCUCCAAACAACAUCAUGGAAGAAGUCCAAAUCCCUGAACUUUUACUCUGUCAAAGUAGCCCUAAGGGGAACAAAUUGUCUCAGGGGCGGGAGUUCUCAGGUGGGGUGGAGGUUCUCAGGCGGUUCAAGAAGUGCAACCACUCCAACAGAACUACACCUCUGAAAGAAUUAGAGGGAGAGUAUUUCAACCUAUUUAUCAGUUCACUUGCAAGCGAAAAUGUAAAAUGAAAUUUGGAUGAGAAUAAAAAAGAAAGUGCUCAAAAUUUUAUUUUACGUCCCCACGGCCAAACGAACCACAGAAGUCGACAAUUAUGUAUGUAUUCCUUUUUCAAAUAGACAUAUAAAUGAAUUUGUCUUGAAAGCAUACUUAGAUAUAAUUUUUUAUCCAAAUGGUUCUAACCCAACUAGUUAAGGCUUGAUUAGUAUAGUUAUAGAUAUUUAAAAAAAGUAAAGUUGGAAAAGACAAAAAAUAAAUUUGGGAUCAAAUUAAAGUGGGUUUCUUGCUCUCUUAUUUAAGAGUUAGCUUAGAGACAUAGANNNNNNNNNNNNNNNNNNNNNNNUUAGACUAAAUAAAAAACAGACUCACCCUGUAAUAAAAUUAGACAAUGCUAUCAAGUUCGAACUGAAGAAUAAAAUAAUAGAUUCCUUGGAGUAGAAGAAUAUUUCAAUAAUUUUAAAUGGAGCUCAGAUAUGAACAAAUUGGCAUUACCGGAUCGGUGGGGUUCUCCUUAAGAAAAAGGUUUAUACACCAAACUCUGUGCCCCCAAAUUGCAAGAAAAUAUCGGAAGAGAUGCAAAAACCCAAUACAGAUAAAGCCACUCGCCAGCCCAUCAGUUGUUUCCUUUCCAAAUAACCCCACCAUUUUAUGCAUAUCCCUACAGUAAAAUGCACUAUAGUUUUUAAUAAUUGUAUUAUUUAUUAUUAUAGUUUAGGUUUUACGGUGCGUACUACUAUAAUUUAUUUAGCGAUACGUACGUGCUCGAUAGCAGGUUCCCGAUAAAAUAAUAGGUAAUUGUCCUACAUGGACGUCAUAUCAAUGAACCGUGUACGUGGCCCUAUAUAUUAAAAAUUUUGACCCACAACGAACUCCUUUCCGCUUCUUCAUUAUUCAUUAAUCUUCAACUGGAGAUUUCCGAUCAACCUCUGCCUCGGUCAUCUUGUAACCCACGUCAAGGUUACUCCAUCCAUGACCAUUGAUUCUAUCACCAUAGAAAGGAAAGAAUUAGACAAAGGACUAAGUUUAAAACAGAUAGAAAAAAAACAGAGAUGCCGAAAGGACUGAGUUUGAAACAGAGGAAGGAAAAAAUGUAGAGAGUAGCGUUUGGUCAUUGGUGAGUUGCGGAUGAAAUAUUGAAACAUUAAUUAUGUAACAAGGGGAAGAAGAGAAGAGAAUACAAGUGGACGGUGGAGAUGGAGGGAGUGGGGAAGAGGGUGAGAGUACUACAAAACCACAAAACCCUGGAGCAUUAAAGUUUUUUUAGAAUAUUAAGGAAGAAGCUAAAAAGAGUUUGUUGUGGUCAAAAUUUUUAAUAUAUGGCCCCACAUAUUGGCAUUGAUAUGGUGUGUAUGUAGAACAAUUACCUGUUAUUUUAUCGGAAACCAACUAUUGGAUACUAUAUGCAUUGCUAAGUAAACUAUAGUAAUACGCAGUACAAAAUCUAAACUAUAAUAGCAUAUGAUGUAAUUACUAAAAAUUAUAGUGGCAUGGUCCGAAUUUUACACUAUAUCCUGAAAUGUGCUUGCAGGUCCAAAUAUUCUGAAAAUGAUUAUUCAACCAAAACUAUUCAUUUUGAAAUUCUAAUUUAUUUGACACCAAACGGUAUGUAAAUGUGUCUUUGAUAACUUCGUACAGUAGAAGGAUGUAAAUGUAUAUUAACAAAAAAAAAAUCAGCUACAUAGCUUUGUUUUUUGGACGAAUGCAUUAUGCAUAAAUAGCUGUUAUAGUUUCUGUACUCUGUUGCCAGAGCAAAAUUGAAAGCAAGAACUGAUACUCGUCCCUUUUUUCUUUGUAUAGUCUGUCUUCAUUGAUGAAGAAAGGCCAUGCUGGCUCACAUUUCCGAUACCUCUAUCUUUUUAAAACACAUUGCAAUCAAUAAGUCAAUAACCUGUAAAAAGAAGCCAUUGUUUCUUAGCACCAUCGUUGCUGUUGCUUAACAUUUCACUGAAUAAAAAUGUUGACGUUACUUGAUCCCAAAGCUGACAUCUCCUUCAAAGCAAGGGAAAGAACUGAUUCCUUCCAAGGAAAAGUGGAAAAUAAUUCAAAGGCCAAAAGCAAAGUAUGAACAUAAUGAGAAGCCUUUCACACGGUAGUAAAUUUCACAGUUUACUUCUACAGCUGAAUACCAUUACUGCUUCCCCAAUCCACAAUAUAUGCAUAUAUAAUCACGAACAAAACACGACCUAUCGAUAAAAUUAAGUCUAGAGUAGUAUGACCAACAAACUUGCAGUACCCGGAAGGAAAAUUUUACCAAGCAAUUGUGCUCUACUGAUCUUGAAUCUACGCAUACCCAGCCAUCCCAACGGUGGAACUCGAGCGAUUCGUCUUGUUAGAAGCAUGGCCUGAGGUGGCCUUUGAGAAAUACAUGUAAUAAUAGACGUUGAGGAUCAUUGUGGCAACCACAAACACUGCUCCAGCUAUGAAAACGCCUUUCCUCAACGAUUCACACGAGAAGUUUUGAGCUAAGAUCAUUCCACGAUACUUUGUGUGAUAUGCGUUUUUCGUUGCACCUGCAAUUAGACAGGCUUCCGCAACGAGAAAAGUCAACCUGCAGAACGAAAUACCAUAAUCAGUGCCCUAUGAUUUGACCUCCAUCUUAGCAGCUGUUAUCUUGGCACAAUUCUUUUGCAACAACUUAAAAGUAGGAUCCAAAAGUGAUGUUGAUCUAAACACACCUUAAUAUGUAAAAUGAAACACUAAUGAAUUAAUAUCCGUAUUAGUUCGGGAUUUCCACCAAACAAGAAAUAAGAAAACAUCCAUAGAUAAGGAGAGUUCGUACCAUGAAGAGAUAAAGUAUAUGAUUGACCAUGCUCGAUCACCACCGGGAGUAAGUGGUCUACCGAAGCACAUGCAUUUUGUUACACCCAUAAGCAGUGAUUCACUGGAAAGAAGAAACAAGAAACCACCUACUCCAUAGCCUGUUGCAACAUCAGAGUUGUAGACACAGUAUGUCCGAUUAGUAACAUCAAUCUCUGUAUGUCCCUGCCAUACAAAGGAAAAGAGUUAGACUGGCACCGAGGAACCAAUUAAUGGACCAGCGCACAUAAUUUAUCGUCAAUUAUGGAAGCAGUAUGGGCAGCUAAAAAUAAGACAGAUACCACAAGAACAUGAUAAAUGUUAACUCAGUGUCUAAGUCAAGAGGAUAAACUGUAAAAGAGGUUUGCUGCUGACGUCCUUCAUAUAACAAACCAAACGUCAUCACAGAAAUAUGAAAUUUUGCCUCGAACAAACUACAAAGUAAUUAAAUAAGCAUAUUGUGCUAAUGGAAGUUAUUGCGAAACGUGAACUGAACCAUAGCUUAAACUGCAUGCUAUGGUAUGAAGCCAACUCCUAGAGUCUUUUAUUGAAAACUGCAGAACACCAUUCAACCAGGACACGCAUUUUUUAUUUUUAGAUAUCAUAGGCCUGUGGUGGGGAUACAAUACAGUAAUGCAGCAGCGACUAGAAUAAGAUAAUACACCGUCUGCAAAUGGUCCAAGCUCUGCACUAGAUAUUUUCAGUAUAUCGAUUGUUAAACUUAGACUACAUUUGUAUCAAUUAUCAAGCAACAGAGCAAAAAUGUGCAAGAGGUACAGGGAUACAGUCAUACACAGGGAAUUAGUUAGCCAUUCUUAACGGCGCUUCAGCAAUUCAGGAGACAGAAAAAAGGAGUAAUAGAAUAGUCAUGUACAUACGAGAUAUGUUCAGAAAAUACUUGUUAACUAGAAAGGAAAGUAAUCAAAUCUAAGUCUACUCCAAUCAAGAUUUUACUUCAGUUGAAAUAUGCAAUGUUAACAAAAAGUGCGUGGGAGUUCAAGUUCAUAACACAAAACUACAAAGCCAUCAAUUUGCACCCAAGCAUAUCCAUCCCUGAUGCCCGUUUUACCUGCAUCUACACUUAACUGGAUUAUCCAAGUAAAGCCAUUAGAAACCCCUACGCAUAUACAUCGAAUUCACACCACCAAUAUGCAGUUCGAGUUCAGCUAAACCAAGCUCAUGAUAAAUCUACCCAAACAUCCAAACAAUCACAAGUUGAGGACAACUCCUAGAAACAAGCAGAUCUUAAACUCUUGUUACCGAAAACCCUAAUUAUCCAAAAACAACACAAUUACUUAAAAAUACAGGAAAAAAGGAGAGAUAGAGAAAUGUGAGAACAGAACAGGAAGUAGGGAAUUCAGUAAGGAAAUAGAGAAAAAGGAAAGCAAAGAGGCAUACAACACUCCGUCGUCUCUCGGCAGCAACUGCAAAGCCGAAAGCAACGAGGCUGAGAAGCACCACCAAAAGGUGAACCAAAGUGGAGCCUCUGCCUUCGCCCAUCUCCUCCCUCAAGAUCUCUGCUUUUCAAUUACCCUUCUGUUCCAGCUAGAGACGAAAGGUUUCCUUGUAGUUAUGAAUUGCAACUUGUUGUUUGUUUCUGAGUGAGACUGAGAAGAGGGAAGCAUGUGAAAGCAGUUGAAAAAGUAGUGUAAAAAGUGUGAACUGUGGAAGGGGGAAAGGACUGUUGGUCUCUGUUCACAGUGGAGAGUGGGAAAUGUGAAACGAAAUAAUCGAAUCUGCUAAUCGGGAAAAAGGAGUUGAAAAUAAAAUAAAAAUGUCUCUUGGGAAAAGGAAAUAAUAAAGAAAGGAAGAGAGUUUGUUUGACCCACGUGGAUGACGUUGUGUUUGUAGGACACGCAAAUGCCAAGCCAGAGAGCAGCAACAGUCACCCACGAGUGUGGAUUGCCAGGCCGUCAAUCUGGCGCGUUGCGGAUUUGGCGCUGCUUUUCGGAUCAAUGUUUAGAAUUACGGUCGUAACUAUUAAAGAUAGAUAAUAAAAGAGUCAUGUCAUUAUAGUCACAUGAAAGCACAGGGAUCAGUACCACUUUCAGUUUGAAGCUGAUCGUCCCACAUAUCAGUGUCCAGUACCACUUUCAAACCAAAGCAUUCAGCAAUCACAAAAGUCCAAUAGCAGUAUGAUCUCAACGAGAGGUCCCUUGAUUGUUUGUUUGUGAUUCUGCUUCUAUUCACUUGACCUCCCCAUCAAUUAAGUAAUUCAUGUAUUGCUUGCCUAAUUACUUGGACUGUAUAUAUGCUUCCUCUCACCGGUUGUUCAAACCAUGCUCCACCUACUUGUACGCCUUAUGGGUGCGGUGUGAUUCAUGGUGAUUCGGAGAAGGUGGUUUUGCAGGGAAUUGUCGAACAUAUCGAGGAGUUCUUUUUAUCUCUAUGUUAUGGGAUUUCUAACCGUUCGAAACACGUGGGAUUGAUGUUUUCGGUAGGGCAUCUGGCAGAUGGACAUUGAAGGUAAUGCAAAAUUUGUCCUUUCUAACUUGUUGAUCAAGAAUACCCGGUAUCUCUGAGAUGCAAUUGUCGCUGAGAUUCUUAACUUCUUGACUGUUUGUCCUCGACUUCAAGUGCAAGUUAUCUGGCAUGAUGCCAACGAGCAUUUCGUGACAUGAAAAGUUCUUUCAUGUCUCCCAAAUCGUAUUGAAAUCCAUCUCAUGGUUUAAACAAAUCUCUAGUUUAUUUUUCUCCUCUAUCUUGUUUAUUUAGGAGUUAUCUAUGAUUAAAAAAUAUGAGCCAAAUUAUCACACGAUUGUUAAGAAUAUAAGGUCCCUUCUAGUUUCCAAACAAUAUCAUAUCAUGGUACGUAAAAAAAUAUCAAACCAAAGUACGUAAGAUUGUUUAAGUUGAACGGAUUGCCACGUUUUACGAACAAAAUCCUUUGUAUCCAAUUCCAUCCCAAAUUAAAAAUUUAUUUUUAAUAUGACCUAACAAUCUAUUUAACCUUUAAAACUUUAUCGUAAAUCCAUCAUAAAUAUACCUAAAACCCCCUUCAAAAGCAAGGUUAUCUCAUAUGUAUGCGGACAUCACAAAUCUCGAAACCCAUAAAAACCUUCUUAUUAUUUNNNNNNNNNNNNNNNNNNNNNNNNNNNNNNNNNNNNNNNNNNNNNNNNNNNNNNNNNNNNNNNNNNNNNNNNNNNNNNNNNNNNNNNNNNNNNNNNNNNNNNNNNNNNNNNNNNNNNNNNNNNNNNNNNNNNNNNNNNNNNNNNNNNNNNNNNNNNNNNNNNNNNNNNNNNNNNNNNNNNNNNNNNNNNNNNNNNNNNNNNNNNNNNNNNNNNNNNNNNNNNNNNNNNNNNNNNNNNNNNNNNNNNNNNNNNNNNNNNNNNNNNNNNNNNNNNNNNNNNNNNNNNNNNNNNNNNNNNNNNNNNNNNNNNNNNNNNNNNNNNNNNNNNNNNNNNNNNNNNNNNNNNNNNNNNNNNNNNNNNNNNNNNNNNNNNNNNNNNNNNNNNNNNNNNNNNNNNNNNNNNNNNNNNNNNNNNNNNNNNNNNNNNNNNNNNNNNNNNNNNNNNNNNNNNNNNNNNNNNNNNNNNNNNNNNNNNNNNNNNNNNNNNNNNNNNNNNNNNNNNNNNNNNNNNNNNNNNNCAAAAAUAUGUAAAUUUUAUAUAGGAAUUCAACUCUCGAGAACGAGAAACCCUGCCCGGCCCCGUUCCACCAUUGCAUUUCAUAGUACAUAAAAUCACUAAGAUGGACAGAAAACCAUUUCUUAAUAUUUAAUAAUUAUAUAAGCUGAUUAAGAUACAUGAUUCAGCUACUCCAUCAACAUUGAAUAAGAAUGUUGAUUUGAUAUUUUUUAAAACGUUAUAUGCCGUUGAAAAUUAGGGUACCAAUGUAAAUUCCCGCCAUACAUGAUUAUUCUUUUUAAAUUUAUUAUCCACUUAUGUGUUUUCACCAAAAAAUCAGUGCGAAAAAAAGCUUUAAUUAUUAUUUAAAAUUUGACAAGGUCUAAUUUUUUUAUUAAUUAUUAACACAGUUCGUGAUUCAAUUUUUUUUUGGUUUAAAAUCAGUUCAUGAUGUAAUUGAAUCCGUUUUAUGGGGGUUCCUAACUCCUAAAUCUACCUGGGCAAAACUGAAAAUAAAAUAACAAACCAAAUAGUGGGCCGGGCACCAUCUAUAUAUACUUGUGGUAUGCAGCAGCUGAGCCGGGUCAUUACGCAAAAGGUCCCAACUCACACACCUUUUCUCCUCUCUUCGAUCGCAAUUCCCUCAAAGCAAAAUCAAUCCCCCCCAACCACCGCAUCUCUCCCCGGAACUCCGUCAGUCCUUCCACCGCCGGCUUAAACCAGGUCAGUGAGUCUCUUCUUUAAAUUUGUUUCAACACCCCGCCACCCCGACCUUAAUUUUAGUCGUCCGUUUUCAUUUUCUUCUUUCUCCAACAACCGAAGUUCAACCGAAAUUCCCAACCCCCGUCGUCAUUAAAUUUCGCUGUGCUGCUAAUUGUAAUUCGGAUAUGGCGUGGGAAGGACACGAUCAAGGAAGUACGCCGCCGUCGUACUCCUUCUUUCCCGACUGAGUAACCGUCGCGCCGCUUUCCGAAAUUGGGCCCUGGUAUGGCCAUCUGGGCCGGGCCAUCAUUUUACAAAAGAAGUAGAAUUUUGAUAUUUUGAUAUCCAAAAAUAGGCAUUGACGCAGGUAUUAAUGAUGAAUAAAUAAUUGCCACCUAAGCUGACGUGUACAUAGUACCUAUCUCUUUGCUUAAGCUUAUCGUCUACCUCUUCCUAACUUGAAGCAUGAUUCAAAUCAUUUUUUCUAUGUCUAGAAGGCUGCAAAUCCAAUCAACAAAAUGGCCGCUUCUAGCACGACCGACGACAAGCAACCAAGUGGUAAGGAUCAUCAUAUGAUUUACACAGAAAUUAUAUGUAUUCAAAUGUUGGGCACGUGUACGUGUAACAAAUUAAAAUUGUGUGUUACGUUUGGCCACAAUUUUAGGUCGUCAGGCAAGUGAGCAUAACGUGCUGCAGAAGCAUGCUAUGUUCUUCGACAGGAAUAAAGAUGGCGUCAUAUAUCCUUGGGAGACCUUCCAAGGCAAGUCCAUUCCCGUACGCUUUGCAAAGCAUAGUAUAGAUUCUGAAUAUGUAUCAUACAUGUUCAUAAUUAUUUGCUUUAUCAUCAUAAAUUUACAGGUCUUCGGGCAAUCGGGGCAGGCAUUCUAUUAUCGGCAGGAGGCGCGAUCUUCAUCAACCUUGGCCUCAGCGGAAAGACCCGACCCGUAAGUAGUCUGCUCGUGAACACAUGAAUACACAUGCAGAAACAAACAAGAGUACUUGUUUGAAUCAAUUCCCAUUAAACUAAACUGCUUUCUAUAGGGGACGUGUAGUUUACAAGGUUGACAGAUAGAAGAUGAAGCUUUUAGGUAGAAUAAUGGCACUUUUUACUGAAACCAACUCUUUACAGUUGGACAUUAAUUCAACUUUCGCAUUAUUUAAGAAUACAAACCACAGAAGAAUUAUAUUUACUUUAAUUUAGGGCUAGUAUACGUACUUUAGCGAUCUGUUUGGAUUUUGGAAUAUAAAAUGAAUGGUCUAAUGGUUUUCUGACUUUCUCAUAUAAACGAAGAGGUUAUUUUAAUGGUUAAUAAAUUAUUGGUCACUGAAUUUUGAACGUUUCACUCACUAGUCAUUAUACUUACCGAUCGUUUAGAUGAAUGAUUUGAAAUAGUUAGAGAUUUGAAAUGAACGAGGAUUAGGUGAAGCUUGUUAUUUUCAAAAUAAAUUAUUUGAAUUGAUGAUUUAUGAGCAAUUUUGAGUUUACUUAUUACGGAGAAAAAAAUAAAAGAAAAAUAAUAAUAUCUUCAAUAAAAAAAACAAAGAAUAAUUUUGAUUAAAAUUCUCAAAUCUCCUUUUUAUCUUUUAAAAUUUCUACCUCCUCUUGGUGAUUUAAAAUAUUCGCUUCGGGCUUAUAAAGUUAUUUCAAAUCUCCUCAAAUAUUUUCUUUUUUAGUGUCCAAACGAGUGAUUUAGAACCAAAUAUCUUCAAAAGUUUAAAUCACUCCAAAUCAUCUAUCCAAAUUACUCAUCCAAAUAAUCAGUUAAAAAAACUAACCGAACAAUGAUUGAAUUAUCAAGUUCUGAUCCAAGAUUACUUCCAGCAAUUCAAUUUUCCAUCCAAAAUCCGAACAAUGAUGAGGAGUUUGUAGAGCAGUAGAGGUGAGUCUGUGGUGUUUGGGGUUAGGGUGGAGAGCGUAGGGGAUUUUGCUUCAGCCACAAGAAAAUGACUUGACAAAAGAGAAUUAGGCAUUGAUGCCUUAUUUUGGUAUCAUUUCUCUGUUUCAAAUGAUUGAACUUCAAUUUCACGUCAUUUUGCUUCAGUUUAUAUUGCUUUUGCAUCAAUCCAGACCGAUAUUUGAUCAUGCGAUAUCAGAAAUUGAACGUACAUAACAUGACUUCAUGUACUGAAAUACUGGGAAACCUUUUUUGUUAUAGCUAGCGUACACGCAUCUCUAGUUUGGUUCUCUAAUAUCAGCUGAUCAACGUGCUUUGGAUUAUUAAUUACUGUUAGCUACAAUCUGAUCGGAUGAUUCAAUCGGGCUUAAAAAUAUUCGGUAAAAAAAAAGAUAAUAAGACAUAUUCAUGUUGAGCGAAUAAAGUGGUCGAUUAAUUUAUAUACUUGUGCUCCACUUAGCUAAUAUUAUUUUAUAAAUACUAUCACUUUACUGAAUGCAGGGAAAGUUUCCGUCUCCUUUGUUCCCAAUUGAAAUUAAGAAUAUUCAAAGAGGUAAACAUGGGAGUGACUCUGGUGCUUAUGACUCCGAGGGAAGGUACGGUACCACACAUCGUUUCAUUUGUCAUCUAUUUACCAUGCUACUUUCAAAUGCAUGUAGAUGUGCGCUAUGAACUUGUGCACGCAUUUCCUAAUAGGUUUGUUCCGGAAAAGUUUGAAGAGAUUUUUGCCAAGCAUGCUAAGACGAAUCGACAUGCCUUAACUUCAGAGGAACUCGGGGAGAUGUUGAAGCAUAAUCGAGAACCCAAAAACUAUGGAGGAUGGUAAGUUCAAUCUCUCGUGUACUGAACAACAAUGCAUGAUCAAUGAUAUGUAUAUAGGGUAAAGAGUCACGUAAAUCGGGUUGGAAAUGCAGGUUGGCCAGUUAUUCAGAAUGGAAAAUACUAUUCAAGUUGGGAAAGGACAAGAAUGGACUGCUGCAGAAAGAUACGGUUCAAGCCGUUUAUGACGGAAGCCUCUUUGAACGUAUGGAGAAUGAGAGGGCAUUAUCAAAGAAACCCUAAGCACUGCCAUGGUUAUGGUUAAGAAUUACAAGUAUUUGCCAAGAAUGGAAAAAAGCAUGAGUGAGCCUGAGAGUGUGGUUAUUAUUCAAUAUGAAUUUGUUGUGUUUCAUUCAUAAAAAUAAAAAUAAUGUAUUUAAUUUGUUGUGUGGUUAUGUUGAUGAAAUAAAAGAGAGAACUUCUUGUUAUUUUCAUAGUCCGCCAAACCCAGCAGCCAGCCAGCUCUCAAUGCCAUAGAGAGAGAGAGAGAGAGAGCUUUAUUAAAAUUGCCUUGCCACAGAUUUCAUUUCAAUGCAAGGAUAAUAAGAAUAACUCAAGGUGUUUCUGUACACAGGAUGUCUGCUGUCCUGGCUAAAAUUGUCCCAAACAUUAUAGUAAAAAUAGUCAUCCUCGAUGCUUCUAAAUUAAAUUCCUUUUGAGUUUCUGCUGCCUCUAACGGUAUACAGGGAGCUCAAUCCUUGGCUUUUCGUCUAAUCCUCCCAAAAGAGGAACCAAGGUGCUUGAGGAUCCUUCUCUACCAUCAUUUCCCAUCUUCAAGAAAUAGCUGUGCCUGCAUUUCACACACCACACAUUCAAAAAACAUAAGCUCCCAUUGAGAACAUGAAAAGGAAGCGCCUUUUUGAAUACCGACCAUCGAGUAUCUGCAGUAAGCUCAGGGUGGAAGGCAGUCCCCAGGAUAUUCCCCUGCUUCACGGCCACAACCACUUUCUUCUCAGGAACUGCAUUUUCCUGCAGAUUUAAGUUUACCAAAAUACUUGUCAGGGCCAAUAGGAAACUCCAAGCCCCAACUGAUUGGUGUCUUUCUACGCAAAACCUUAGUCUACUUCCAGGACAUGAGAAACAGAGCAUUGCUACGGAAUGCUGAGACCUUAGGUGGCAAGAGAAUGGCAUAUAACAAAGCAAGGGGUGAGGAAGAACAUGUAUCUACCUCUUGGAUUUGGACAGCAGAGCUUGAAUACAAUACAUUAGCAGAGGGUACCGGAUAUUCAGCCAAUACUUCAACUGCUGGGCCAACUUCAAGGACUGCAGGAGCACGAAUAAAGACACCUCGGAAUGUUUCAGGACCACCUUCCUGAGACACUAUUUUUGGGAUGGAAAGCUCUGCCUCGAAGCUUUGAAUCUAAAUAGACAAGUGUUCUAAAGUUAAUGCUAGGUAAUCACAAGAGGGAUACACCAGUUGCAGUAAGGUUCACUUAAAAAGAAAACAUAAAAUCAAAAGCGAUGGCAAAAAUUCCAGUAGUUUGAGUUUCUUUUGAGGAUGAUUUAGAUAUGCCUACGUUUCGUUGCAAGCAGUAGAUAUUUUUACGCAAAAACUGACUUCGACAAACAUUACAUGCAAUUGACCCGAAAAGUUAGCAAUAACGAAAGCCAGAAACCAGGCAGAGAGCUACAUGUAGGAACCUCUAUCAAGGUCCUAAAAGAAGCAUAUGUAGCGUGGGGGCAUAGAUCCUUCUCAGUAUCAGUUCAUCUCUCACAUCCAAAUGAGCAUAGUUGAUAAAUUAUUUCAAACUUUUAAGGUUUCAUAAGCUGUGCAGAGACGUGUUCUGAAUAUACUUCGUUUGUACCUGACUGCCAAAGUAAUUCCUGUGUACGGUGCAAUCUAGUCCACCAACCAGUUCCUGACCUCCAGUUUUCUGCCCUGCAAAGGGCCAACAAAUGUCAUUUACUUCAUACUCAAUUCCAUAUAUUACAAGGAUAAAACCAGUGGACAAUGAUAAUUAGCGUAAAUGAACCCACCCACUGCCUUCUCUGCCAAGAAGAUAAGACCAGCACAAGUGCCCCAAACAGGUUUUCCCGUCUUAACAAACUCUCGCAGAGCAGGAAACUGGAACAGAAACAAUACGAAAAAACUUCAGUACAAACAAUAAACUUGAGGCAUACUUGGUGGAAGACUUAAGAGAAUGAUCAAAUCAGAACUGUUAUGCUAAACACAUGCACUAUGUUUUGAUAGGAAAAUCAAGUUACUGUGAGGAAUCUAUUAGUUCAUACUAACAAAACCAAUCCGGCAUUGAACUUGCUAAUAUUUGUACAACUCUUAACUCCAUAAACCGUUGCAUUCCUAUAAUCUUAUACCAUAUUUCAUCUGUAGUUUCUGAUACUGAGCAUCCACCUCAAGCACAUACUAGCACUGUCAAUUGACAAACAUACAAGCUAAUGAAAGAUUCCACGCAAGUAGGAUUCGCAUAGCUGUUGAAAAUGUGAAACCUUUUACUGUUCUGAUUUUUCCUGAAUCAUCAAGGAUGGAACAAAUCAUAAGGUUGAUACAUAACUACGCCACCAAAACAAUAUAAAGCUUCAUGCUUUCUUAACAAAGUCAAUAAGGAAAACAAAAGAUUGUUACUUUAUAGUUAUCCCAAAUCAAGAGACAUGAAUCGAACGAGAAAAAUGGAAACAGCAUUCACCAAAUUGGACAUAAGAAGCAGAAUAUUCAGAAAGAAAAAUGGCUGAGAGGAAAAAUCACCAAGUUGUGGAACGCAGCAAGCUUAGCCAUGGUGGUACUUUCGCCACCAGGAAUGAUGAGAGAGCUAACAUUUUGAAGCUGCUCUGGCUUCCUAAUUUCCACACCCUUUACUCCCAAUCUGCUGAGAGCUGCCCACAGCCACAACAAAUCCCCAAACAGUUUCUUUUCAGAAUACAGCUCACAUCAGAAACCCAAUUUUGCGAGUAAAAGAAAUAGGAAAAGAAAGAUAAAAGAGACCUGAAAUGUGUUCAUUAAAAGAACCCUGUAACGCAAGGACGCCGACAACCAUCGCUGCCUGAGAAGUUUUGGAAGAAGUGUGUCGUCCUCCUCCUCCCGCUUUUUGUCGUGGUGGGUGGAGGUGGCUGGCUAGUGGUUCUUCUGAUUUAUAUUUGUUUUAUGUUGGUAGGUUUUGCUGCGCGGCUGAAUAUUUUUUACAACCCUAGACGAAUUUUUUAAAAAUUUAUGAAAUUUAUUUUAAAAUAAAUAUUUUUUGUGUUUGGUAUGUAAAAAAAUAUAUUUUCAAUUUUAUAUUUUAAAUUUUGUGAAAUUGAGAUUAGUGUUAAUUAUUUUGUGGAAUUGAGUAAAUAUUUUGAAAUGAUUUUUACAAAGAUUUAUUAAUUACAUUAAAAUGAAUUAUCUAUCCUUAAUUAAUAAUUAAAUUAACAUCAAAUGCAUCAAACUUAAUAUACAAUUAAAGUCGGCUGAUUCUCUAUUUGCUCAAACCUUCUCAUUUUUGUUGCCGACACCCAAACAUCAAUUUUAAAGAGGUUGGAUAUCUCCUUUCUUCUUCAUUCAAUAAUCAUCAUAUUUUCUAAUUAUUAAUUGUUAUGGUUACGAGCAAAUGCAUUCGUUUUAUGUACAUUGUUAUUACUUUUACGAUAUGUCGGUUAAGGUAACUAAUUCAAUAAACUCUUCCACACAAUGAGUAAUAAUAAUAUCUUCUUUGCUGAAAGGGCAUAUGUGGAAACUUUUGAUUUAAUUCAAUUUUAAAUCGUAUAUCAAAUAUGAUUUUGAAAUUCAAUACAUUUUAUUUUUAAGAAUUGAAUAUGACAUUCUAAACAUAAAAAUUUAUUUCAAAAUGAAUUUUACAAAUAAUUCUUUUUAAAAUGAAAUAAAUUCUUUAUUCAUUUGAUAUCAAACAAAACAAUACGUAAAUCAAACGGGAUUUGAUUUGAGCGACAGAUUUGAUGCAGCUGCUUGCAAAUUGUUCAAUCGGAAAGAAGCAUCCAUCCAAACAAGGGAGCGUCUACGACUUGAUGAGGUCCGUCAACUAAAUAUUUUCAGUUUUACCAAACUCAAUUAAAGGUAAAUUUGAAUCCUGCACAAAUGUGGCCAGAUAUGAAAUAGUCUUCAAGUGACGAAUUUGAAAUUCAAAUUUAGUUAAUAAUAGUACCUUUUUGAGGUGUUAAAUUAGGUAUUUUGAUUAAAAUAAUUCAAUUAAGUAAAUGUCUCGUUUAUCAUUUAAAAUGAAAAAAAAAAGAAAUAUUUUCGAAUUAUUUCAAAUACUUGAUUAUGAAUAUGGUAUAUAAAAUAAUUCAAUUCAAGGUUUAUAAUUCAUUAUUUUUAUAUUAAUUAACAAAGUAAUUCUUACAUAUCAAAUAUUUUACACCUAAAAAAUUACACAUUUUUAAAUAAUAUAUAUUUAGACUUCAUUUGUGAAAUAACUCAUUCAAACUGGAGAAAUAUUUUAAUUGGACAACAUCAUCAACAACCAAAUAAUAUGAGGGUCGUGGACUGCAGCUUGAAUGGGCCUAAGUUUAACUAAAGUGAUUCAAGCCCAAUUGCACGCUAGCUUCCUUGUCUGCCAAGUGUUAAGAACAGAAUCAACUCCGAUGCUCUGUUUUGCAGUAGUAAUGAUAAUUAAUUUUCACCCAACAUAUAAAGUUAAGCAUAUUCAUAAAGUUACUACACCUACUGGGAUUGAUAAACUACAAGUUACAGAGGAUCCUUACAAAGAAAAAAGAGUAAGAACAAACAGAUGAGGUAAGGUAAAGGAAGAAGGAGCCUAAGUCAACCAAAUGCUACGAAUACAUACAUCAGUAAUAAUUUGUUGAUCCACCCUUAAAAUUCCAAAUAUCAUCAAUGUCCCAGCCCACAGCAGCAGCAGCAGCAUUAUCUCCGGCGACGAAAUCAUCAACCAAAUAGUUCUCCACAUCCCAAUUCGGAAGCCAAAUCGAACCCCACCACAUUUGCUCAUAAUCUCCUCCUCCACAGUUGUAGCUGUAGUACCACUCCCUCCCCACCGCCGCCUCCUCUUCCUCCCUCUUCUCCAUUACCGCCGCCGCUGCCUCUGCCGCCGCCAGACCAUGAGCAGCAUUGCUAAUUGUACUAGCGACGUCGGCGGCCUGAUCUGAAUCUGGAUGAUGAACAGGAUUAUGGUCUGAUCCUGGUCUACAGUUUUGAUCAGGUGGUGCUGCCUUGGCCAUCAUCGUCGUCUUACUCUUCUUUCCACCGGCGGCAGCCUUACUCUGCUUGCCGCCGCUAGUAUCCCCGUUAAUGCUCCUUACCCUUUUCAUGUGUUUGUUUCAAAAUUGAAUC